RNAcentral lists this ribosomal RNA (253 nucleotides) under uncultured bacterium. RNAcentral describes it as "partial 16S ribosomal RNA". It matches the Rfam family "Bacterial small subunit ribosomal RNA", at positions 524 to 776 of the family's 1533-position model. The record is from RNAcentral.
UACGUAGGGGGCAAGCGUUGUCCGGAAUCAUUGGGCGUAAAUCGCGUGUAGGCGGCUCGGUAAGUCCGCUCUGAAAGCCCGGGGCUCAACCCCGGGAGGCGGGUGGAUACUGCUGAGCUCGAGUCCGGAAGAGGAGUGUGGAAUUCCUGGUGUAGCGGUGAAAUGCGCAGAUAUCAGGAGGAACACCAAUGGCGAAGGCAGCACUCUGGGACGGUACUGACGCUGAGGAGCGAAAGCGUGGGGAGCGAACAGG